GAUGAACGCUAGCGGCAGGCUUAACACAUGCAAGCCGAGGGGCAGCAUAAAUAGUAGCAAUACUAUUGGUGGCGACCGGCGGACGGGUGCGUAACGCGUAUACAACCUUCCCUAAACAGGGGGAUAAUCUGGAGAAAUUCGGUCUAAUACCCCAUAACAUCAGAGCAGGCAUCUGUUUUGGUUAAAAUUUCCGGAGGUUUAGGAUGGGUAUGCGUAGCAUUAGCUAGUUGGUGAGGUAACGGCUUACCAAGGCGACGAUGCUUAGGGGGACUGAGAGGUUAACCCCCCACACUGGUACUGAGACACGGACCAGACUCCUACGGGAGGCAGCAGUGAGGAAUAUUGGUCAAUGGGCGGAAGCCUGAACCAGCCAUGCCGCGUGCAGGAUGACGGCUCUAUGAGUUGUAAACUGCUUUUGUACGAGGGUAAAGUGGGCUACGUGUAGCCUUUUGAAAGUAUCGUACGAAUAAGGAUCGGCUAACUCCGUGCCAGCCGCCGCGGUAA
Molecule: ribosomal RNA, 504 nt
Filed under: uncultured bacterium
Lineage: Bacteria
Description: partial 16S ribosomal RNA
Rfam family: Bacterial small subunit ribosomal RNA
Source: RNAcentral